UACGUAGGGCGCAAGCGUUAUCCGGAAUUAUUGGGCGUAAAGAGCUCGUAGGCGGUUUGUCGCGUCUGCCGUGAAAGUCCGGGGCUCAACUCCGGAUCUGCGGUGGGUACGGGCAGACUAGAGUGAUGUAGGGGAGACUGGAAUUCCUGGUGUAGCGGUGAAACGCGCAGAUAUCAGGAGGAACACCGGUGGCGAAGGCGGGUCUCUGGGCCGUAACUGACGCUGAGGAGCGAAAGCAUGGGGAGCGAACAGG
RNAcentral lists this ribosomal RNA (253 nucleotides) under uncultured bacterium. RNAcentral describes it as "partial 16S ribosomal RNA". It matches the Rfam family "Bacterial small subunit ribosomal RNA", at positions 524 to 776 of the family's 1533-position model. The record is from RNAcentral.